GUACAUACAUAGUAUCCUGGUACAAAAAUACUGGCUCCAGCGAGGUAUAACAUCAGUAUGUAAUGAACCAAAAACUACAACUACCUGUAGCUGAUACUCCACUAGCUCUGGCUCGCCUGGUAGGGCUCUAACUCGCAACGCCCUUGCCACGAUCAGGAUCAGCAGCAGCCGACAAUGACGGCUCUGCAAAACGAAAAGGAACAACUGGGCGUGAGAACUACUGUAAAAAUAAGUAGUCCUCAGUGGGUGCCGCCCUCAACAUCAUCGGUCCGCCUACUAAGUCUACAGAAAGGAGCUGGAAUAGUACAUAAUGCUGGAACAAAAUCUACAGCUAAGAACCAUUAUACUAUC
RNAcentral lists this long non-coding RNA (351 nucleotides) under Ananas comosus (pineapple). RNAcentral describes it as "long non-coding RNA (ACOM_LNC005219)". Lineage: Eukaryota; Viridiplantae; Streptophyta; Magnoliopsida; Poales; Bromeliaceae. The record is from RNAcentral.